This 512-nucleotide ribosomal RNA is filed under the name uncultured bacterium. Its description in RNAcentral is "bacterial SSU rRNA". It matches the Rfam family "Bacterial small subunit ribosomal RNA", at positions 36 to 518 of the family's 1533-position model. The record is from RNAcentral.
AACGAACGACUGGCGGCGUGCUUAACACAUGCAAGUCGAAACGCGAAAGGGACUUCGGUCCUGAGUAAAGUGGCGCACGGGUGAGUAACGCGUAGAUAACCUGUCUUCAUGUCUGGAAUAAUACGCCGAAAGGGGUACUAAUACCGGAUAUUCUUGCUUUUCAUAAGUUAUGCAAGCAAAGGUGGCCUCUGCAUAUGCUACUGCAUGAAGAGGGGUCUGCGUACCAUUAGCUAGUAGGUGGGGUAAUGGCCUACCUAGGCGACGAUGGUUAGCGGGUCUGAGAGGAUGAUCCGCCACACUGGCACUGGAACACGGGCCAGACUCCUACGGGAGGCAGCAGUGAGGAAUAUUGCGCAAUGGGGGAAACCCUGACGCAGCGACGCCGCGUGAGUGAGGAAGGCCUUCGGGUCGUAAAGCUCUGUCAAGAGGAAAGAAGUGUACAAUGGCUAAUACCUGUUGUAUUUGACGGUACCUCUAAAGGAAGCACCGGCUAACUCCGUGCCAGCAGCAGC